Molecule: long non-coding RNA, 1716 nt
Filed under: Homo sapiens (human)
Lineage: Eukaryota; Metazoa; Chordata; Mammalia; Primates; Hominidae
Description: HSALNT0234062
Source: RNAcentral
GCCAGAGUUCUCAUGGGAAGGCACCAUCGAAGGGCAUAGAUAUGACAUAAUUCUACAGGUCGAGGAGUUUCGCAGACAUAACUCCUUGGGAGCAGUGCCCAGGUCAAGAAAGAAAAUGUGGCCAAUGCCCCAGGAUCUUAUUUGGUCAUCCAGGCUGGACUGCAGUGGUGUGAUCAUAGCUCACUGCAGCCUCAAACUGCUGGACUCCAGUGAUCUUCCAGCCUCAGCCUCCCCCGGUAGCAAGGACUACAGGUCUCACUCUCUGUCGCCCAGCCUGGAGUGCAGUGGCAUCAUCUGAGCUCACUACAACCUCCGCCUCCCGGGUUCAAGCGAUUCUCCUGCCUCAGCCUCCUGAGUAGCUGGGACUACAGGCACGCGCCACCACGCCCAGCUAAUUUUCGUAUUUUUAAUAGACAUGGGGUUUCACCAUGUUGGCCAGGCUGCUCUUGAACUGCUAACCUCAAGUGAUCCACCAGCGUUGGCCUCUCAAAGUACUAGGAUUACAGUGCUAGGAGCCACCAUGCCCGGCCGCCUCUCUUUUCUUUUACACAUGAAGAAAAAGUGGUCAGAGAAGUUAACUUGGUCAGUGCCAAAAGCACUGGAAGUGAGUAGGACCAAGCUUUUCAUCUAGAUUUGUUUGUUAGACUCUAAAUCCAAAUUCACAACAAGAUCAGAAUAUGAGAAACCUAAGGAACAAAAUUCUAGGAAUCAUUUCUAGAAACUGUGGCUAUUGAAAAAGCACAGACCUAGGGAAUCAAAUUAUUUUCCCUGCCACCAGCACAUGGGUAGGCCUGUGACAAAUUCCAUGCUCUGGACCCCAGAUUCCUCAGUGAGAAUAGAAGGGGCUAGAGACAUCAGGGAAUUGGAUUUGGUGACUUUAAUACCCACUCAGCUCCAAAGCAUUCUUGAAUGAUGCACGAUUUAUGAAUAUAUAUAUUGAAAUUUACUGAUGGGUGAACAGCUCUCAACAUGAGAUUUUUGUUGUAUGCCUUAAAAAAGAUUAUACAUAAAUAUGCGUGUGUGUGUGUAUGUAUGUUUCGAUGUAUAUGAACCCAUGAUCUGAAAAAUGGCCACUGUGGCUUGUGGAAACCUAUUAAUCUCUGCUGUUCCACCCAACAUCCUCAGAGAAAAAAAUAAACAACUUUUUGAAAGUGCUGCCAUGGGGUCAGACCAAAUACUGUGGCCACUUCCAAGGGGUUUGCCUUGAUUUGCCUGGAUUCCUGUUCAUGUGACAUCUGCCUUCUAAUUCAAGGAUAUGAUCAAUUCAAUGUGUGAGUUAUCAAUCAAGGACUGGCAACAGUGAUGCUGAACAAGCCUGGUGGAAGGAAAGAGAAGGCAGGCCAGAGCCCAGACAGACGCAUUCACAAACCUUACAAAGAGGACAGGCUAAUUAGGGGCUGUAGUUCUCCCUCUCUUUAUAGUUGGUAUAAGAGGAGUGGUAAUCGUAGUGUCCAAAAAUAUAUGGGCUACAUAGUUGCUUAGUAAGCUGUGGGUAUGUGGUUUCUUCUGCAAGGUGCUUUCUUUCUGAUAAAGAGAUUACGUUGUUUGUUUGUUCAUUUAUUGAACAUAUUUACACUUACACACACACACACACACACACACAAUGUUCCAGAUACCGUACUUGGCAAUGGUAGUUAGACCUUGCUCUUGCAAAAUUUAUAAUGAAGUUGGGAAGUGUGGUUUGAUCCCUCAAAGUGUCCAAAUCCUAAUCCCCAG